RNAcentral lists this ribosomal RNA (605 nucleotides) under uncultured Hypocreales. Its description in RNAcentral is "SSU rRNA". It matches the Rfam family "Eukaryotic small subunit ribosomal RNA", at positions 748 to 1354 of the family's 1831-position model. Lineage: Eukaryota; Fungi; Ascomycota; Sordariomycetes; Hypocreales. The record is from RNAcentral.
GGGGAACCAGGACUUUUACUGUGAAAAAAUUAGAGUGCUCCAGGCAGGCCUAUGCUCGAAUACAUUAGCAUGGAAUAAUAGAAUAGGACGUGUGGUUCUAUUUUGUUGGUUUCUAGGACCGCCGUAAUGAUUAAUAGGGACAGUCGGGGGCAUCAGUAUUCAAUUGUCAGAGGUGAAAUUCUUGGAUUUAUUGAAGACUAACUACUGCGAAAGCAUUUGCCACAGGAUGUUUUCAUUAAUCAGGAACGAAAGUUAGGGGAUCGAAGACGAUCAGAUACCGUCGUAGUCUUAACCAUAAACUAUGCCGACUAGGGAUCGGACGGUGUUAUUUUUUGACCCGUUCGGCACCUUACGAGAAAUCAAAGUGCUUGGGCUCCAGGGGGAGUAUGGUCGCAAGGCUGAAACUUAAAGAAAUUGACGGAAGGGCACCACCAGGGGUGGAGCCUGCGGCUUAAUUUGACYCAACACGGGGAAACUCACCAGGUCCAGACACAAUGAGGAUUGACAGAUUGAGAGCUCUUUCUUGAUUUUGUGGGUGGUGGUGCAUGGCCGUUCUUAGUUGGUGGAGUGAUUUGUCUGCUUAAUUGCGAUAACGAACGAGACCU